AUUAAAUUCUGAACUUCAAGCAUUUUACUAUAAUUUAUAUUUUCUUUUCAAAACUUUUUUAAUGAUCCAUGAUACGACAUAAAAUAUAUGUCUCUUAAAACGCUUAUGAUGUUGGCACUGCGCAUCCAAGUUCGCGCAGAAAGAUGUGCGCGCGCAGAAAAUGGAGACGCGUCCUGUAAAUUCCUCGAGUGGGUUGUUCGGUGUAGCACCUCGUGAUUAGAUUUCUAGUGUCAGUUUUCAAGACUCGUCACGUACAGGUUCGUGAAAACAUCGUUCUGUGCAAUGUUCGAUCUAACUAUUUAGUGAUUCUGAGAGAAAGCAAGAAAGUUCUAAAGAGAAAAAGAAUAUGAACGUAUAUACGCGAUUUGGCGCGAGUCAUAUAAUUCGCCACGUAGUGUCGUCUCGUCUAAGAUAGGUGGGGAGAUAGUGCCGUUUACCAUCUGAAAAUAUGUUGCACCACAUGACGACAUCUUAACAUUGUUUUAUAGAUACUGAGAAUGCACGCACACGAUGCUGUUCGAUGACAUUCGAACGUGGCCGUUGCGCGCGUGUAACGUGGCUGGUAUGAUAGGAGAGCAUGACGAGGAAAGAGUCGCCUAACGACCGCGUCGCUUUGCCCGCACAUAGUUGCAUGCCGCCUGCAUUCGUGUGCACGUGUGUAGCGAUACUUAAUGCGCGCGCACGUGACCUGACACUUAGUCGGCGCGUACAGUCUUUUCUUCCGAUUACACGUCAAAUUGAACCCCGGCAUUGCACACCAGGCUGUACAUACGAGUUGUCUUAAUCUUCGCGCCGAUGUCGAUGUUUCAUGAUAUAGGUUUUGACGAGUUAGAGGUUAUGUUUAACGAAGUGAAAAAAUAUGUUACGAUCGUGUUUUUUUAUUUGAUUCCUGCAAAAAAUAGAUAGCUUUUUAUAAUAUACUGAACAGAAAAAAUUUUGAAUAGAAUAUAGAUGUUUACUCGGAAUUUAUAUUAAAAUAUAUGUUAAUCGAAUAACGGAUUGAAUAAAUAUAAUCGAUAAAUUGUUUUGAUCGAUCGCGAAAAGCUUUCAAUCAUUCAAUUGGAAUCGAAAUGAUUCGCGUCGCGAUACGUUAACGAUCACGGAUGUGAUUCGACGGUAUCGAUCGAACUGGGAGACUGGGAUAAUUGACUGUAACGUUUGAUCGACGCGAUUGAAUUUUCUGAGUGGGUGAAGAGAACGGGAGAGGAGAAUGCGCAGGCAGCGAAACGGUGAGAGAAUUCUUGAGCGUGUACGAACGUCGACCUCUUAUAAAAGCUAUACGCCGUUUCCUGAUCGGGACCGUUUAAUGGAUCAAGAAGACAGCACCGUGCGACCGGACACACCGCAGAUUCGGCCUUCGUGUAGUCGUGUCACCGUUCGUAAUUGGUAAUUGCCAGGGCCACGACUUGCAAAUGGCUACUUUUGACCGCGGCCAGACAGAAUAAGAGAAAAAAGAAAAGAAAGAGGUAAUGAUGAGUCAGAACAAAGAUGAAAUAAUGAACGAAAAAUUCUAAUAUCAACUAAAAUACAUAUUUUGGAAAAAGAAUUCGGAAAGUAUAUAUGAUCAGUUCUCACUUUUAUAUAAUUCCUGAUUAUGAGAUCUGGCCUCGUUUUGGGCAAGAAAAAGCACCCGUUUUUGAUAUCUGGUGGGACCUCUGCACUGUUGCCCCCUUAUGUAAUCUGAUUUAUUCAAGAAUUUCAGAUUUAU
RNAcentral lists this long non-coding RNA (1708 nucleotides) under Apis florea (little honeybee). RNAcentral's name for it is "uncharacterized LOC105735373, transcript variant X2". Lineage: Eukaryota; Metazoa; Arthropoda; Insecta; Hymenoptera; Apidae. The record is from RNAcentral.